UCUGUAGCGGUUUCCUUCAGAGCAGGUGGUGACUGCUCCUUGGGGAGCAAGGAGGAGGCCCAGGCCGCGCGGCCAUGCUCGGGCGCGCACCACCCGAAGGUGAGGCAUUUGGCCCCAAACGGGCCUUCGGAAAGCCCAGCUGCUCGAGAAGUUAUCUUACAGCUUGAUCUGCCGCACCUGCUCGAGGGCGCGAGCGCCCCACCCUUCCCCUGGUGUGGAGCGACACCAGCGCCCGAUGACGCGUGGUCAGGCAGAGCAAAUGUUUGAUGAAUGAAUGAAUGGCUCCCUCACUCGCGGAGCUCAGAGGAGUUUGACGGAAGUCCAAGCUCUUUGUAAACUGCGUAGCAUUGUAAAGAUGCGAGUUGUGACACAUCCCUCUUACCCCUCUCCCCCCGAAGGAAAUGGGGCUGCGGCUGAAAUGAGGAGUCCCAACCUGAGUCUUUAGUGGAAAAGGAGGCGAACUGCUGGGACGAAAGAAGGGAGCCGUCCUCCCAGGGAUUGUGGAAGGAUUUUUGACUUUUCAGGAGGAGAAUUUAGUACUGAUUCCCUUUUAGGAAUCAUUCGUGUUUGUGGCUUGGAGCUUUGGAAAGCUGGUAUUGGUUGUUAAUCGGUGUCCAUUACUGUAAUCAAGAAAUUUUGGCCUGUGUUCAGGUCUGACUCAAAGGCUAUUUCCUUUCUAAAAUAAAUAUUAUUACUAUUUAUACUGGUUUUCCUACAGGUGUUAUCCUGGAAAGUAAAUUCAAGUAAAAACUCAUGAAGUUGACAGUGUAGUUCUCUAGGACAGGAAAUUUUAAGAUAAAACGAUUUCAGAUUCCUCAGAAAUCUGUCUUGCACCUGUCCUGAUGAAUAGUGUGAGAAGGGGAUAAAAGCAGGGACGAAAGGAAGCAGAUUCCGCAGUUGGGUCUCUGGACGCUGGCGCACAUUACCUCUUCCGGAAGCAGCGAUAGUGACUAUUACGGAUCUUUAGGGGCAGGUUUUUAUAUAAAGAUCUGGGGAGCUCAGAGUUUCUGCCCCUGCUGCCACCACCAUAUGCAAAUACAUCAAGGAACCUUGUAACUGGAUUUGACUCUCUUCUUAUGACUGGUCCCUGCCAGAUCCUUCCAAAUAAGACUCACAAGGAAUCUGAACAGCGAGUGAUAGCCCCACAUGGCUACAUGUGUAAAUCAUUUGGGGUUUUGCUCCUCUUCCUAAUUUUUUGAUGGAAAUUGAAGGAAUAAAAUACACAGAUUGAGGGGAUUUUGUAAAGCCUAGCACCACAGAUUUCUGUUAACUUUGGCUAGAAGAAAUGCAAACAUCAGAGCUCUGCAACCCAGCAGAGGACACCUCCAGGGAAGUGUGUAACCAACCACAUGGAGCUUUUCAGCAGCCUGAUUGGUUUUCGUUGUCAGUGGUUCCACCAGAGAACCUUGGUGCUGAGAGGCAGCAUAGCAGGGAGGAGAGCCCUCAGCCAACUACUGAUGAACUUCCAGCUGCACUAGCUUACUAGGCAAGACCCACCCAGUUCACCACCCGGUAUGCUGACUGGAGGAAACAGCUGGAACUGGCGGCUGCAGAACAGGAAGCUCCUACAUUGCCAGCUUGGUCUGCAUCUCUUCAGUGCUUUCAUUUCUUACUGCUCCAGAGAAGAAAACAACUGGUUCAUUCGAAAUUCAAAAAAAGAAAUCUGAAGUUUUAGGAUACAGAGUUCUUUCCCUGGCUCAUCAGUUUGUGUAUAAUAAGGAUCUGCAUAGUAUGUUAAAAUAUAACAGAGGGAUAUUUGUAUAGGGUUCUUUUCUCCUACACUUGAAAGUGAGCUCGUAUGAGAAACUAUUUUAUCAGCUUCAUUAUCCCACAUCAGUAGUUUUUGCUGUAAAAGAUUUCAUAAGCUAAAUUCUCUAGCAGUAUUUCUUUCUAGAAAUUCCAUCUACAAUAUUCAAUUACUUUUAGUGGUUUGAUUGUGAAAUAUGCAUUAAAAUGCAUAAAGCAGUUACUCAGUAAAAUAAGUAAUUGUAAAAGAAGCCUCCAUGUAACCAACCAGGUCAAGAAAUGGAGCAUUUCCAGCACCCUAGAAGUAUCCCAGUGACCUUCCGGAAUACAACUCUUUCCCUCCCUUUUUGAGGUAACUAUUAUUCUAACUUUAGUGAUAGCCAUUUCCUUGCUUUUCUCUAUAGUUUUAUUACAAGCAUGUGUAUCUCUAAACAACAUAUUAUUUGGUUUUGCCCUUUCUCUUGGAACAACAGUAUGUAACCUGUUUUGAUUACAGCUUUUGCUCAACAUGUUUUUUAAUCUGUGAUACGUUGUUUGGGUUGUUCAUAUAACUGUAGUUUGUUCAUUUUAAUUGCUGUUUUACGGUGUUCCAUUAUGGCAAUAUGGCAUAAUUUAUUUAGCCAUUCUAUUGUUGAUGAAUAUCUGGGUUGUUUCCAGUUUGAAAUUGUUGUAAAUACUGCUGUAAAUAUUUCUUGCAUAUGUAUUCCAUCACAUCUGGUUUCUAUAUGGUAUAUACCUGGGAGUAGUUACGUGUGUUCUAGAUUUGAAUGAAUAAUUCCAAGCUGUUUUCUAAAGUGUUACACUCACACCAGCAUUGUAUGAACCUCAUGUCCACACCCUCAACCACAAUCCAUAUAGUCAGUCCUUUUCUGCCUUGCCAGUCUGGUGGGAGUUUGAGCUUGCAUUUCCCUAAUUGCUGAUGCCGAUGAGGACUUUUUCAUAUAUCAACUGGCCAUUUGUAUUUCUUUUGUGAAAUGUGUUAUCAUUUUCAUGCCUAAUCACUGAGAUACCCAACUUUCCAAUAUCCUUAUAGUUCAUAUUUGAAUAAUAUAUGUCAGGUAAGGUAAUACUACCAAAUGAGUUACAUUUGGGACAAGUUCUUUCCAAAAUAAGAAUAAUUAUAUUAAUAGUUUGUCUAAUUAUCUCUUAUGAAUUUGAUGAUAAACUUCUUAAGAGUAGGUCUAUAAGGCUAUAUUUUUUACAUUACCAAAUAAUGUUACACUUUGAACUAUUAAAGUGUUGCUGGAAUCCCUCAUGGUGCUUUGGUGUGACUUAGUUUUCCUCAAGUAUGUAGUCAGAUGUUUAUUCAAUGAACCUGUGUAACUAAACUCUUGCUUUGUAUUUUAUAGGCAACUAUGUAACAAAUUGUUUCACCUGCACAAAUUUUUUUUCAUUUCCAGUUUCAUUCAUUUUAUGAAAGUUACAAUGGCUUUUUCUUCCCUCCUACAAUUCCUGCUAAAAUACAUGUUUUGUUUUUCUUUUUAA
Long non-coding RNA from Bubalus bubalis (water buffalo), 3231 nucleotides. RefSeq lists it as uncharacterized. Lineage: Eukaryota; Metazoa; Chordata; Mammalia; Artiodactyla; Bovidae. The transcript has 2 exons. The record is from RefSeq and is a predicted model, not a curated record.